Molecule: long non-coding RNA, 1047 nt
Filed under: Medicago truncatula (barrel medic)
Lineage: Eukaryota; Viridiplantae; Streptophyta; Magnoliopsida; Fabales; Fabaceae
Description: long non-coding RNA (MTRU_LNC003489)
Source: RNAcentral
UAACGAGGCUACUUCCUUGCUCUAUUCAUCAACUCAUUUAAAAGUCCAUAUUUUUUUUUCCAAGAUUUUAUGCCAAAGACCAUCAUUUUGACCAAAGCUUUUAAAUUUCCAAACCACCUUUUUCUUUUGACCUAAACUGUGGCAUAAAGUAAACAAAACGAUAGAACCUUAAUUUUUUUUUCAAUAAUUGAUGAAAGAAACAUAUGAUAGUGUUGUUAAUUUUUUUUUUUUAAGAAGCUGACAGUGUUGUUCCCGAAUGCAAAAAUAAUUAUUUGAUUCAUUAUCACAUCCAUGAUAAAUCGUCAUCAUCAUCACACUAUUAUUAUGCAUUAUUACCAUUUUCCUUACAUGAUUCUCUGUCAUGGGCCUAAUAUAAUAGAGCUCUUUCACUCAUUAUCAUUAUAUUAGUAUAAAAUUGUUACGGUUUGUUGCAUGCUAUAUAUGUAUUGCACUCUAGAUUUGAUUUUCUUUUAAUCUAUUAAUAAAGCAAAUAUUAUCUAUAUUAUAGCGAUUGAUAAUUAUAAAAUAAAAAUUGUUGCUUUUCUAUGCAGAAUUUUGGUCUCUAAAGUGAGAAAAUAGAUGAAUAAAAAAAUACUAUUAUUUUAACAAACUCAUAAUUUACUAUAAUAUAAAUACAAUAACUACAUUAAUUUAUUAUUUAAUGAUGGAUAUUAUACUCUAAAAUGAGUUGGUCAUAUAUUUUAGAGAAGUCGAAUCCAUCCAAACACAAUAAAACACCUUACAUAAAUUUUAUCGAAAACAACUUGACAUUAACCACAUACACCUUCAUCAUGUUCCUUCUCCACCUACUAAUAAUGAAUUAGGUGUUAUUCUUGCUAAAUGAAAAAACAAACAACGUAGACCCACACACACUAGAAUCAUGUUCCUUUUCCAACUAAUACUAAACUAAUUAACCAAAAAAGUGUGUAACAUAUAAUUUUAGGUUCAAAUAUAUAUAUACCUGGCAGGCUAAUAUUUCGGGUUAGUUGGUAUUACUUUCUUGGAAUAGGUAGGAAUUGGUUUAUGAGAAGUUCCACCAUCAGCAAG